GAUGAACGCUGGCGGCGUGCCUAAUACAUGCAAGUCGAGCGAACAGACGAGGAGCUUGCUCCUUUGACGUUAGCGGCGGACGGGUGAGUAACACGUAGGUAACCUACCUAUAAGACUGGGAUAACUUCGGGAAACCGGAGCUAAUACCGGAUAAUAUUUCGAACCGCAUGGUUCGAUAGUGAAAGAUGGCUUUGCUAUCACUUAUAGAUGGACCUGCGCCGUAUUAGAUAGUUGGUAAGGUUACGGCUUACCAAGGCUACGAUUCGUAGCCGACCUGAGAGGGUGGUCGGCGACACGGGAGCUGGGACACGGACCAGGGUACUGCGGGAGGCAGCAGUAGGGAACCGUAGGCAAUGGGCGAAAGCCUGACGGAAUGACGCGGCGUGAGAGAUGAAGGCGUUCGGACCGUAAAACUCUGUUAUUAGUGAAGAACCACUGUGUAAGGAAAUGUGCACGUACUGACGGUACCGAAUCAGAAAGCCACGGCUAACUACGUG
RNAcentral lists this ribosomal RNA (497 nucleotides) under uncultured bacterium. RNAcentral's name for it is "partial 16S ribosomal RNA". It matches the Rfam family "Bacterial small subunit ribosomal RNA", at positions 28 to 507 of the family's 1533-position model. The record is from RNAcentral.